RNAcentral lists this small RNA (28 nucleotides) under Bombyx mori (domestic silkworm). RNAcentral describes it as "ovarian small RNA-24801". The record is from RNAcentral. Lineage: Eukaryota; Metazoa; Arthropoda; Insecta; Lepidoptera; Bombycidae.
UCAAUACCACGGCAAUAUCCGGUGCAAC